UGCUGCUUACUGCUUACCGUAUUUGCUGCUUACUGUAUUUGCAGCUUACUGUAUAUGCAUAUACCGAAUUUGCAUAUAACUGUAUUUGCAGCUUACUGUAUAUGCAUAUACCGAAUUUGCAUAUACUGACCAAAAGUCUAUCCGAAACCCAAACUCUUGUAUAAAUUCACCAAAUGACAUUAUAAUGUUACUUUUCAUAUCCACUUUUGUAUUUUAUUCCAAUGAAAAAUUAAUCAAAAGCCACCACAAACUGUUUUUCAUUGCAUUUAAAAUGAAAAGUUACACGUAUUCCAUAAUUUCAAUAUUAAUGGUCAGAAUUUAACCUCCAGCAUGAAUUACAUUAAACAUAUAUUUAUAAAUCUUUAUAUCACAUGCAAUAAUUUGGAGACCCUACCACUUCCAAAUUAAUUCAUAAUACGUGUAUAAUUUCAUGACAGUUACAACAUUAUUAAAUUCACAAUUAAUAUUCUUGGACAUAACCCAGUCUGAACAUGUUUUCUCAAUCAAGCAAUUUUCAUUUAAAAGGCAUAAUCAUGAAGGUUCAUGUUGGCAUCCUUACAUGACCAACGAUUAGAGCAUUUUUCUCCUUCUAUCCAUUCGUUGUUUGGCUUGAACUAGUCUCAACGCCCAGAAAUUUAUCACAUUCAAAGUGAAGAAGGAAUAACAACGAACAUAGGAAUGUCAAUGUUCUGUGCCAUAGCCAUAUUGGCAAUCAACAAGAAUUGCCAUUACCACAAUUAAUUAAACAAUGGCUAACACCGGUAUCAUGUAAUUCCACAUCAAUUUGGAGAUGAAAGAUAGUCACCUAUUUUGAGACUUGUUUCCAUGUGCAAAUGCAUAUGCGGCAUGUUUUCAUACCAUUUUAAUGAAAUCGACAUAACUCUCUAUUCAAUGGCAUCCAUGCUGUCAACCAUAUUCACAAUACCAAACAUAAUUUCAUAAAUCAAAAUGGUCAAUGAAAGAAAAUAUGACAUUCCAAUAAUAUUAUGUAGUGAACUGAAUAAAAUUCCAGGAAUUUAAUGACUUUUGCAUUAAAACCAUUAAUCUUAAAUAUAGAAGAACCAUUUGAAUUAAAAGGUACCAGCAAACGAAAUUGGCAAAUGAAACUGCCAACUAUGGACGAAUUCAAUGGCAGUUGGUAAGAAGGAUUUUAUCCAUUAGCCACUUUUUUUACUUCAUCUACCAACAAAUUAAUAUAAAUAUGCCUCUUUUCUUUUUUUCCUUUGUAUAAACAUCAAUAGGCUAUUAAAUUGAGACAGUUACAUCGUAUUAAACUCACAAUUUUUCAUCUUAAUCUAAUCAGUACGAUUAUACUUCCAUUUAAACGUUACAAUUUCGCACUGUCAUUGCAUGAUUCACACGUUUAUUGUAGAAUAUGCACAAGAUUAAUUACCAAUUUCAUCCUGUAAAGUGCCACUAGUUUCCAAUAAUAUAAAAUGCACUAUAUGGGGCAAAUUUAUCUUAAGAUUGUUGGAAAAUGUUCACCGAUUAUUGUGCAUAUUAUAUUCACUAAAAGCAUACCAUUUAUUUGCGUGAAAUCGAAACAUAAUUUCGACUUAUCGGAAUGGAUAAUUUACCGAUUCUGAAUGUAUGAAUCUGGAUUCAUUUUCUUUCCAUCCUUGAGUGAAAACACAUCAUUCUUUGGAUCGAACCUUGCAAUAUAAAUAUAUAAAUCAGAUUAAUAAUAAAAAGAAAUCAGAAAAUAAAGUGAGAAGAUGCAAGUGAUGGAUUUUGGCCGAGGCAAAUCUUGAACACUUUGUCCUUAAAAUGAAUUUGCCAAGCAUCGGCGCUAACGAUUUUCGGGCAAUCAUCUCCCAAGAUACAAUAAUCAUGUCAAGCCAUAGGAGCACUUCAAAUGGCUUCGACCAAUGAACUCGAACGGAGUUCCUUCUCUACUAUGACCAUGAUUUUGAUGCAAAAUGAAAUCACUUCUAUGAAGUGUUUUAUGCAACAUGACAUGAAAAAAUAAUUUAUAUGAUG
This 1980-nucleotide long non-coding RNA is filed under the name Olea europaea subsp. europaea. Lineage: Eukaryota; Viridiplantae; Streptophyta; Magnoliopsida; Lamiales; Oleaceae. The record is from RNAcentral.